This 73-nucleotide transfer RNA is filed under the name bacterium. RNAcentral's name for it is "tRNA-Glu". It matches the Rfam family "tRNA". Rfam says of the family: Transfer RNA (tRNA) molecules are approximately 80 nucleotides in length. Their secondary structure includes four short double-helical elements and three loops (D, anti-codon, and T loops). The record is from RNAcentral.
GGCUCCAUCGUCUAGUGGUUAGGACACCUGGUUUUCAUCCAGGUAAUCGCGGGUUCGACUCCCGCUGGAGUCA